GGAGAGUUUGAUUUAAGUAUAUUGAUGUUGAAUAUUGAAAAAUAAGAAUUUUAUAACCUCUGCAAAUAAAUUUUUGUUGAAAUGAUUUGAUUAUGAGCUGCAAAGGCUUACUACAGUUGUAGUGUUAUGACAAGACUUCUAAAAUGGCACUUAGUAUCAGAAUCAUGUAUGCUUCAAAUAUAUUCCUUUGCUUAGCAUAUAUAAGUUGCUUUCUGGAAUUGUUAUUGGCUGCUAACAUAGUUACAUGCAGCUUUUUGGCUUUGCCUAUCUUGGACCAUUCGGGCAUUUUUUUCACUUAUUGCUGGACAAACUUUUCAAGGGGAAGAAAGACACAACAACUGUUGCAAAAAAGAUUAUUUUCAUUCUUGAUCAAUGAUAAAACUCUGCUAUAUUAUUUUCAUUCUUGAUCAAAAUUAAAUUGGUCUGGAUGCCACCUUUAUACCCGUCGGCCCUUGAAGACAUAGAUGCUGUUGAUGAUGGCGCAGUUGAUCCUAAGGAGUAUGAAGCUAUGAAGCAUCAAGUUGCUCAGCUAACAAGAACACUUAAUUUCUCGGAGGCUAGGAUGUUGGGUAUGCAAGCCCACAUUAAUAGUUUAUGAUGGAUAUGUUUAAAUGGAUAUGUAUAUUAUCUUUAAGGGUUUGAAUGUAGUUUUAGUUCGAAUUAGAAGUACUUUUAAGUUUAUAAUGUUUAAGUGUUUGAAUGAAGUUUAUGAUGUUUAAGUGUUUGAAUGUAGUUUAUGAUGUUUAAGUGUUUGAAUGUAGUUUUAAUUUUAAGUACUUUGAGGUUGAAUUUGAUUGUUUAUAAGUGUUUGAAUGGACAAUGUUUAAUGUUUGAACAUUGUUUAUGGUUGUUGUGUUGCAUUGUUGAUGAAUUGGAUGGCUGUUUUGGUUGA
Long non-coding RNA from Lycium ferocissimum, 892 nucleotides. RefSeq lists it as uncharacterized. The transcript has 3 exons. NCBI's taxonomy places the organism in Eukaryota, Viridiplantae, Streptophyta, Magnoliopsida, Solanales, Solanaceae. The record is from RefSeq and is a predicted model, not a curated record.